GACGAACGCUGGCGGCGUGCUUAACACAUGCAAGUCGAACGAUGAAGCCCGGGCUUGCCCGGGUGGAAGAGUGGCGAACGGGUGAGUAACACGUGAGUAACCUGCCCAUCACUCUGGGAUAAGCGCUGGAAACGGCGUCUAAUACUGGAUAUGACCCAUAACCGCAUGGUUUGUGGGUGGAAAGAUUUAUCGGUGGUGGAUGGGCUCGCGGCCUAUCAGCUGGAUGGUGGGGUAAUGGCUCACCAUGGCGACGACGGGUAGCCGGCCUGAGAGGGUGACCGGCCACACUGGGACUGAGACACGGCCCAGACUCCUACGGGAGGCAGCAGUGGGGAAUAUUGCACAAUGGGCGAAAGCCUGAUGCAGCAACGCCGCGUGAGGGAUGACGGCCU
RNAcentral lists this ribosomal RNA (392 nucleotides) under uncultured bacterium. Its description in RNAcentral is "bacterial SSU rRNA". It matches the Rfam family "Bacterial small subunit ribosomal RNA", at positions 28 to 417 of the family's 1533-position model. The record is from RNAcentral.